CCUACGGGGGACAGCAGUGAGGAAUAUUGGUCAAUGGCCGGAAGGCUGAACCAGCCAAGCCGCGUGAGGGAGGAAGGCGCAGAGAGUCGCAGACCUCUUUUGACGGGGGAAAAAAGGCCGGACUCGUCCGGUCCUGAGGGUACCCGGAGAAAAAGCAUCGGCUAACUCCGUGAAAGACGCCGCGGUAAUACGGAGGAUGCGAGCGUUAUCCGGUUUCAUUGGGUUAAGAGGGUGCGCAGGCGGGCCUUUAAGCCUGCGGUGAAAGCGCGGGGCUCAACCCCGCCGCGCCGUCGGAACUGGGUGCCUUGAGUGCGACGGAGGCAUGCGGAAUGCGCGGUGUAGCGGUGAAAUGCAUAGAUAUCGCGCAGAACCCCGAUUGCGAAGGCAGCGUGCCGUGUCGCCACUGACGCUGAGGCACGAAAGCGCGGGGAUCGAACAGGAUUAGAUACCCUAGUAGUC
RNAcentral lists this ribosomal RNA (459 nucleotides) under uncultured bacterium. Its description in RNAcentral is "partial 16S ribosomal RNA". It matches the Rfam family "Bacterial small subunit ribosomal RNA", at positions 338 to 795 of the family's 1533-position model. The record is from RNAcentral.